This 72-nucleotide transfer RNA is filed under the name Phrynosoma platyrhinos (Desert horned lizard). Its description in RNAcentral is "tRNA-OTHER". The stretch from base 7 to 65 matches the Rfam family "tRNA", at positions 7 to 64 of the family's 71-position model. Rfam says of the family: Transfer RNA (tRNA) molecules are approximately 80 nucleotides in length. The record is from RNAcentral. Lineage: Eukaryota; Metazoa; Chordata; Lepidosauria; Squamata; Phrynosomatidae.
UCCAGCGUGGCUUAGUGGUUUGAGUGUUGGACUACAACUCUGAAGACCAGGGUUCGAUUCCCUGCUCAGCCA